GACGAACGCUGGCGGUGUGCUUAACACAUGCAAGUCGAACGGUAAGGCCCUUUCGGGGGUACACGAGUGGCGAACGGGUGAGUAACACGUGAGUAACCUGCCCUCAUCUCUGGGAUAACAGCCGGAAACGGUUGCUAAUACUGGAUAUGAGCUUGCAAGGCAUCUUGUGGGUUGGAAAGAUUUUUUUUGGUUGGGGAUGGACUCGCGGCCUAUCAGCUUGUUGGUGAGGUAGUGGCUCACCAAGGCUUCGACGGGUAGCCGGCCUGAGAGGGCGACCGGCCACAUUGGGACUGAGAUACGGCCCAAACUCCUACGGGAGGCAGCAGUGGGGAAUAUUGCACAAUGGACGGAAGUCUGAUGCAGCAACGCCGCGUGCGGGAUGACGGCCUUCGGGUUGUAAACCGCUUUCAAUUGUGACGAAGCUUUUUUGUGACGGUAGCAGUAGAAGAAGCACCGGCUAACUACGUG
This 468-nucleotide ribosomal RNA is filed under the name uncultured bacterium. RNAcentral describes it as "partial 16S ribosomal RNA". It matches the Rfam family "Bacterial small subunit ribosomal RNA", at positions 28 to 507 of the family's 1533-position model. The record is from RNAcentral.